CUCUCUCAUUCUCUCAUUCUCUCAUGUGCUUGGAAUAUGCUCAGGGUUUACUCAGAGCAACCGAAGCACGCGCAAUGCACUGAGUAUUAGCGGCAAUUUUAAAGGUAGGGACGGCCGUGGACGGCUGGAUAUUUGGCGGACUGUCCACCGGGUCCCACACAGCAUGUCUCAUAUCUGGGAUGAUUUCUGAUUGCUGAUGCCGAUUGCGGUGACUCUUCUAGCGCAGUUUGAGAAAGGUUGGAGAAAUAUGCUCCUGAUUCCCCUGCUCAGGAGAGAGGCCAAAUGGACAUGUCUGUCUGGGACUUUGCCUGCUGCUGACCCAACAUGAGGUGAGAAAGGAGACAUCAGGAGCCAGACAGAGAGAAUGAGGGUAACAGCUGACGUGUCCAUGUGUUAAGGAUGGCCCACAGAACGCAGAGAUGGAGCAUCUAUCCACUGUUGUCUCUAGUGGAGAGGGAGACAUGGACUUCCAUCACCACCUGAACAUCAACAUGCACAACCGUCAAGAUACAGUUUGCUGAGAAGACAGAUACAGAACACUACUAUUUAUAAUCAGCAUGUAUACAUCUGUUCAAGACCCACAGAAACCACCAAAUAUGCACUAACUUCCUUUGAAUCAAGUCAGUUUUUUGUAUCAUUGUGAUUUAAAUCUGUAAGUUGUAAAACUGUUUACCAUUUGUCUACUCACUGUGAUGUAAAAGUACAACAUUAUUUAUUCUGAAUUGUAAAAGUCUGUAUUACUCUAUUGGAUUUGGAUUGAACCUGUCCUUAGAAUACAGCAUAAACAUCUGAAGGGAACCCGCAGUGCACAUUAUAGUUAUCUGAAAUUGACUGAAUUUAUAGAAAAAGUAAACAUCAAAGGGAAUAUUUUUGUACUUUCUCAAAUCACUGUAUUUUCUCAAUGAACAGAAUAAAGUAUAUUCAAGAAUA
Molecule: long non-coding RNA, 930 nt
Organism: Coregonus clupeaformis (lake whitefish)
Lineage: Eukaryota; Metazoa; Chordata; Actinopteri; Salmoniformes; Salmonidae
Exons: 4
Source: RefSeq, a predicted model, not a curated record